This 727-nucleotide ribosomal RNA is filed under the name uncultured bacterium. RNAcentral's name for it is "bacterial SSU rRNA". It matches the Rfam family "Bacterial small subunit ribosomal RNA", at positions 771 to 1498 of the family's 1533-position model. The record is from RNAcentral.
AACAGGAUUAGAUACCCUGGUAGUCCACGCCGUAAACGAUGUCAACUAGCCGUUGGGAUCCUUGAGAUCUUAGUGGCGCAGCUAACGCAUUAAGUUGACCGCCUGGGGAGUACGGCCGCAAGGUUAAAACUCAAAUGAAUUGACGGGGGCCCGCACAAGCGGUGGAGCAUGUGGUUUAAUUCGACGCAACGCGAAGAACCUUACCUACUCUUGACAUCCACGGAAUUCGGCAGAGAUGCCUUAGUGCCUUCGGGAACCGUGAGACAGGUGCUGCAUGGCUGUCGUCAGCUCGUGUUGUGAAAUGUUGGGUUAAGUCCCGCAACGAGCGCAACCCUUAUCCUUUGUUGCCAGCGAUUCGGUCGGGAACUCAAAGGAGACUGCCGGUGAUAAACCGGAGGAAGGUGGGGAUGACGUCAAGUCAUCAUGGCCCUUACGAGUAGGGCUACACACGUGCUACAAUGGCGCAUACAAAGAGAAGCGACCUCGCGAGAGCAAGCGGACCUCAUAAAGUGCGUCGUAGUCCGGAUCGGAGUCUGCAACUCGACUCCGUGAAAUCGGAAUCGCUAGUAAUCGUGGAUCAGAAUGCCACGGUGAAUACGUUCCCGGGCCUUGUACACACCGCCCGUCACACCAUGGGAGUGGGUUGCAAAAGAAGUAGGUAGCUUAACCUUCGGGAGGGCGCUUACCACUUUGUGAUUCAUGACUGGGGUGAAGUCGUAACAAGGUA